CCCUUAGAUGUUCUGGGCUGCACGCGCGCUACACUGAUCAGUGCAACAAGCAUCCGUCCUUGGCCGACAGGCCCGGGCAAUCUUUGAACGCUGAUCGUGAUGGGGAUAGACUUUUGCAAUUUUUGGUCUUCAACGAGGAAUUCCUAGUAAACGCAAGUCAUCAACUUGCAUUGAUUACGUCCCUGCCCUUUGUACACACCGCCCGUCGCACCUACCGAUUGAAUGGUCCGGUGAAGCCUCCGGAUUGGCGUGCACCCUCGGGUGCUGCCGAGAAGUUGGCUAAACCUUACCAUUUAGAGGAAGGUGAAGUCGUAACA
Molecule: ribosomal RNA, 317 nt
Filed under: uncultured eukaryote
Lineage: Eukaryota
Description: partial 18S ribosomal RNA
Rfam family: Eukaryotic small subunit ribosomal RNA
Source: RNAcentral